GAAGAACCCCGGCUAACUACGUGCCAGCAGCCGCGGUAAUUCGUAGGGGCGAGCGUUGUCCGGAAUUAUUGGCGUAAAGAGCUUGUAGCCGUUUGUCGCGUCUGCUGUGAAAGCCCGGGGCUUAACUCCGGGUCUGCAGUGGUACGGGCAGGCUAGAGUGUGGUAGGGGAGACUGGAAUUCCUGGUGUAGCGGUGGAAUGCGCAGAUAUCAGGAGGAACACCGAUGGCGAAGGCAGGUCUCUGGGCCAUGACUGACGCUGAGAAGCGAAAGCGUGGGGAGCGAACAGGAUUAGAUACCCUGGUAGUCCACGCCGUAAACGUUGGGCGCUAGGUGUGGGUCCCAUUCCACGGGGUCCGUGCCGCAGCUAACGCAUUAAGCGCCCCGCCUGGGGAGUACGGCCGCAAGGCUAAAACUCAAAGGAAUUGACGGGGGCCCGCACAAGCGGCGGAGCAUGCGGAUUAAUUCGAUGCAACGCGAAGAACCUUACCAAGGCUUGACAUACACCGGACGAUCGCAGAGAUGUGGUUUCCCUUUGUGGCUGGUGUACAGGUGGUGCAUGGUUGUCGUCAGCUCGUGUCGUGAGAUGUUGGGUUAAGUCCCGCAACGAGCGCAACCCUCGUUCCAUGUUGCCAGCAACACCUUUGGGUGGUUGGGGACUCAUGGGAGACUGCCGGGGUCAACUCGGAGGAAGGUGGGGAUGACGUCAAAUCAUCAUGCCCCUUACGUCUUGGGCUUCACGCAUGCUACAAUGGCCGGUACAAAGGGCUGCGAUCCCGUGAGGGGGAGCGAAUCCCAGAAAGCCGGUCUCAGUUCGGAUUGGGGUCUGCAACUCGACCCCAUGAAGUCGGAGUCGCUAGUAAUCGCAGAUCAGCAACGCUGCGGUGAAUACGUUCCCGGGCCUUGUACACACCGCCCGUCAAGUCACGAAAGUCGGUAACACCCGAAGCCGGUGGCCUAACCCCCUUUGUGGGGAGCGAGCUGUCGAGUAGAGUAACUGCC
Molecule: ribosomal RNA, 1000 nt
Filed under: Serinicoccus sp. 13-12-1
Lineage: Bacteria; Bacillati; Actinomycetota; Actinomycetes; Micrococcales; Ornithinimicrobiaceae
Description: bacterial SSU rRNA
Rfam family: Bacterial small subunit ribosomal RNA
Source: RNAcentral